AUUUGGGACCAUCUUCAAUCCACUACAGUCCCCAUUCUCCACUUGCAGUCCGAAUUCCCCCACAGGCAGCCUUUCUGUGUAUCUGAUGUGCGUCCUUGAAUUUGAACAUAGUGUCUAACGGAUGGGUGCCUGAGUGGCCAACGCCCCUGCCAGAAACAAUGCUGAAUGAGCACCUCCCCACAUGCCCCUUUUGGACAAAAAGUGUCUCUGCGCCGCAUACCGAGGAGUGGCAUUGCUGUGGGCAGAAGACUUACGCAGUCGACUUGAACCAGCACCAUCAGACAGCCUCCGGAGUGGCUGCACCUUCUCAUACUCCCUUGCAGAGAACAAGGGUUCCUCUUCCCCCCCUACUCCAGCUAACACUUGGCAUUAGCUGACUUUCUAAUUUUUGCUGACCUGAUGAGUGUACAGAGUAAAGUUUCAUGUUGAACUUUUAAAACAAAGGGGGAAAAUACAGAGGGAAAAGAAUAGGAAGGAAAGUGGUUAGGAGGGAAGGAAAUGGCAGCUGGCUAAGUGGGAAGAAUUGGGAAGUCAAGUUUUCUGGACUGCACAGUACCCUACAGAAUCCUAGGGGCCAUCAGAGCAGCUGCAGGUCACCUUGUGGAAAAGUGCAAAAUACAGUUUAGACAUUUGGAAUUUGGCUUCCUGGCAGCCUGGCUGGAAGGUGUUGGUUCCACAGGGCCAAGGCUGGCUGUGCCUGCCUCCCUCUGGGUCCUGGAAGCUGAGGGAGGUGGACCAGCCUCCAGCUCCCAGGUUCUUAUGCUCCUCCUAUUUAUCUCUCAGUCCUUUCCUGGCAGCCAGAGAGUCCAUCUUUAGCGGGGACCUGUACAGUAUUGUUUUAAUCUUCAGCUCUCUCUGCUUCCUCUCUGUUCCCUUCCUCCCUUCCUCUUCUCCUUGUCUACCACACAGAACAGAUGUGGAAAAAGCCAGGCCUUUAGGAACAUCUGCUGAGACACCAGCUGCCUUCCUCCUGGGCUAAGGAAACUGUGACCCCUCUGAUUAUUGGGUUUCAUCCAAGGACCUCAGUUCUCUGGCCAGAAUAUUUGCAUCGAAGUCAGCAAGGUCUUCUAGCUAUUUAAGAGAAUUUGCUAAAUCCCUGAAGAUCUGUACAUAUAGAAGGAAGGGAGAGAUGCUAUUUUUUAAACAUUGGCUGCAGUUGGAGCUGGCUGGCCCAGAAGUGCAGAAUUCCCAAUGCUUCCCAAGGAGCAUGCAUCACUCUCGGAAAUACCUGGACACAUAGGAGAGGUAUAGGAAAAAUGAGUUGAGUUGUUCUGAUUAAGAAAGGAACUGCAAUUUGGAACUUGAUCAGCAGCUGCAUGCUGACUGCUAGAGGAAGAAGGGUUUGUUUCUGUUUUUGUUUCUUUGUUUUUUUGGGAGGGGACAAAGUGAUUUCUGAAAGAGAAUGAGAGGGCCUAGAAGUAAAAAUGAGGCAGAGGGAAUUGGAGGAGGAAAUGGCCAGUGAUAAAUUCCUCCUAGCAGGAGUUCCCCGCCCAGAUGGGGACUUCAGUGUAGAAUCAUUUACUUUGGGGAUGACACCUCUUGUUAACUGCAGACCUGCAGGAAACAUCUGCUAAACUUGACAGCUGUGAGCUGCUGGUGGUCAUUGAAAGACCAGCAUUAAGUUGACAGGCAGAAAGAAAACACAGUCCCGGGGGAAGAAAGGAAUGAGAUGGGAGUGCUCAGUGUGAACAGGAAAUCAGAGCCAGGGAUGACCAGUAAAAUAUAAGCCCUGGGGGAAUCUAGAAACAUCUUGGAAAGGGCCCAAGGCUUUUCCAUAACAUGUGGACUGGGAGGCUCUCGGGAAGGACCCCAGACUGGUGAACUUGGGAAUAUGCAAGCUGAAGGCAUCUGGGAUACACGAGUGGGUGCACACACGCACAUGCGCACACACGCACAUGCACACUCACACGCACACAUGCACACACUGCAGAUCCCCUAGAGUAGUGGUCCUCAACCUUGGCUGCACAUUUGAAUUGCCUGGGGCUUUAAAAAAUGCCAGAGCCUACCCUCACCCCAAUGCCACCAAACCAAUGACAUCAGAAUCUGUGGGAAUCAGACCCACACGUCAGGUUUUCAAAGCUCCCAGGGCUGAGCAGCAUUGUUCUACAGCCUGACAGCUCCAGCUGCCUGGAGAGCAGAUGCCAUUUACAGUCUCCUGCAACCAAAGACUCGCCUGAACCAUCGUGCCCUUCCAUCACACACCAUACCCAGGCCUUCUCCCUUCCUUUCUCACCACCUCCCCUACCCGCUUCCCAACAGAUCUCCUCCCACAGUCACAAGAUAAGACACAGGCGCCCAGUGGAAUUUAAGCCUGAGAGAAACCACAAAUAAUUUUGUUUAAUAUAAGUAUGAGUUGUGUAAAAUUAGUAGAUGUCAUGCAACAUACUCAUACUAAAAGUUAUUUGUGAUUUCUCUAAAAUUCAAAUUUAACCAGGCAUCCUGUGUUUUUAGUUGCUAAAUCUGACAAUCCUAGAUAGAGACAACUUAAAAACAAAUAGAGAGUGUCCUUCCUCGACAAGGGACAGAGAUCUGGUACCACCACUAGCACUAGACCCAGAGUCAAAGCCCAGGGCUCCUGGGCUGAGGCCCCUGGGAGAAUCAGCAAAGCUUUUCGCCUUCCCCACACGUGCUGUGGGCGCGCAGUACUGCAAGUUAUCACCACCAGAGGGCGCACUCUGAGUAGGCGGGAGGAGCCCGCAGGGACAAGACCCCAAUCCACAGAUGCUUAGAGAGACAGUGAGGGCGCAAUCCCCAAAGGAGCAUUAGUGUUCAACUGGUGGGGUCCAGGGACAUUUCUUCCUCUUCUAAACUAAAUGAUCCCGAAGACACCUGAGAUUCAAUGAGAGAGAAGGGUGAGCCCGGGGUAGAAUGGUAAGA
Molecule: long non-coding RNA, 2877 nt
Filed under: Homo sapiens (human)
Lineage: Eukaryota; Metazoa; Chordata; Mammalia; Primates; Hominidae
Description: HSALNT0331077
Source: RNAcentral